GUCCACAGCCCUGCUGUUGGCUGACUGGAAGAUGCUGAAAUCGAAUUUCAGGGAAGCCUGUGCGGCUCUGCUGUGCACCUUCACGUGGUGAGUUUAAUGUCAGUCACAUGAGUUUUAUUCUAAUAAAAGUGCCCUUGAAAACGCACGGUGAGGCUAGCAGGACGGCUCAGCACAUCAAGCCACUGGCUGCCACGCCUGGCAAUCAGAGUUCUGUACCAGGACCCACAUGAUGGGAGGAGUGGAAGGAGGAUCACCAGUUCCCGCAAGUUGUCCCCUGAACGCUACAUGCCUGCCACAAUGUGCUUGUGUGAUUCCCCCAAUACUUAGAUUAUUUUUUGUUUGUUUGUGUUUGUUUUUUAAAAAAACCCAUUUGGAAAAUGCGUGAAAAGAAACAAACUCUUUGAUGACAGGACUAUCUUAGAUUGUUGAUCUUUAGUACCCUACUUUUCAGCUUCCACAAUGAGAAUGCUGGUUUUUGCUUGUGCCCACAUACAUGUUUCCAGAAUGUCAUAAUUUAGGGAAAUACAUAAAAGACCAAAGGAACAAUUAUUAUAGAAAACGAAGCCUUCUCACGGAUGGUCUGUAAUUCCUACCUUGGCCCCUAAGAUGGAGUCAUGUGUUGAACACAUUCCUGUCGCUAUAUCACAAUGCUGGAGGCAAGCAAGUUACAAAGAGAAAACGUUCAUUUCAACAGUUUAGAGGCUGCCAGUCCAUUGUUAUCGGGCAGAUAACUUUUGACCUGGCCUGGCACACACUGGCACAUCGUGGCAAGUGCAUGGUAGAGCUAACUACUCACUUUGAGACAAGGAAGCAAAGAAGGUGGAAAGGACCAAGAUUCCAGAGUCCUCUUUGUUAUUAUCACACUCCCGGUAACCAGGAUUCUUCUCUCAGGCUCCGCUGCCUCUCCACAGUGCCGCUUAGGGGCCAAGCUUUCGACACACGUGCCAUUGUGCAGGACACUCAAGAUCCAAAGUGCAGCAGGAUGCUUGCCUCCAUUGUUCCCACUCUACCCUGUCGUUAGUCCUGUGAACAAUUUUUUAGUGAUUGUGAUGGGAUACUUCUGAGCCAGGGCAUUUAAUCACCAGUGCAAACCCCUCAGAGCUUUCUCCCUGCUGCACCAUCUGUGAACACUCAGAUGGGGGCCACUGUGCCAGCUCCGUCCUAGAAGGAGAACAAAGUAACAGGCAGGAUGGCCAUGCCAUAGGACUAAGGUACAGAGCUUUGCUGUUUGAAGACACUGAGGUUGCGGUGUGAACUUUAGACACUGGGGUUGCUGUGUGACCUUUUCCUAGAAGGUGUAAACCCUGUCUGCUCCCCCGGAUAAGGCACCAAUGACAGACCAAAGUAAUGCUCCCACCCAAGUCCAGCUUGGUCAGCCAAUGAGUCUAUUGAUCCGCCUUCCAGAAGUAUGGGUGAAGGGUGACUUAUAGGAAUGCAGGUGAUCCCUGGCAUGCGCAGAUGAACUCCUGCUUCUAUUAACACUCAGCACUUCAGGUACUCUCCUACUUCCCAAGACCUUGUGCAGCUUGGGCAGAAUAACAUAAAGCUAGGGAAAAGGGGCAGGAGAGAAUGGCUGGAAUCUCAGGUGACGGGCUGAUUGUUGGGGACUGUGGACCCCCAGACCCUGACUUGCCUGUGACCUCCUGCCUGCCAGAGUAAACAACGUGUUUUCCUAUGCUUGCGGUUGCUCUGAGCAAACAGCUUGUUUUGCAGCUGCUCUGAACAUGAGACCUUCAGGAGUUUCUGAUGUCUGUGGAGUGGUUUCUGGGGUGCUUGCAGCUGAGAGCUAGGGUGUGGCCAUUAGUCAAGGACAGCCUAUAUAAGCUGCCCUGGAACACAAUAAAGAGUCAUUCGGGGCAUUCUUGGCGUUACCUGUGUCUCUGUGUGUUUGUGUGUGUUUCUAUCUCCAGGUCCUUGCCUGACUCGCAAACCAUGGCGCGUGAGCAGGCGUUGCGCUACAGCUGAUGGCUCUCCCCACCUCAGACCAGGCCUUGUUCCAGGUCUCUACAGUGACCGUGGCCUUGGGAAAGGAGAAGAACUAGAGGCCGGGGAGAAAAGAAGAGAUCCCCAAGUCUACAACCCAGACAAGGCAAGAGGAGCUUCAUCUCCAAUUAGAAAGGCAGAGCUGAUGGGGUGGCAGCGGUCACAGGAGACUCCUCGAGCAUCUGGUCUAAGGGCCCCGUUUGUCACAGUCCUAGAACUCAAUGGCUUUGUGUCUCCAAGGAGUUCCACCUUUAGCGCGGAUCCAAAAUCAUCCGUUUCAUCAGUCUGCGACUCCGUCCUGCUCCCCAGCCGAUAACCUUUCCCAGGGUUCCUGACAUCUCCUAACUGAUCUGUCUCACCCUCGUCCUCCAGACUGUCAACACCACAGAGUAGCCCUUCGAAGACACACCAAAUCAUGUGACCAUCCAGGAGCUUUCUGUCUGAACCAGAGUGAAAGCCAAAGUCCCACGGAUGAAGAACCAGGACCUACACAAUCUGUUCCCGAUUUUCCCCUUUGCCUUGCUCAUCUUUGGACUCAUCAGUUGAGCUCUCGCCCCAGGGCCUUUGCACAGGCUCUUCCCUGAGUGUUUCCCCAGUUAAAUGAUACUCUCGGCCUCAUUAGCAUUUUGUAGACAUCCUCAUCCAUUCGGAUUUCGGUCUGUUCCUAUGAGUGCCACCCUAGUGUCCCUGAAAGCAUCUCUAGGUCACCAAAUGAGUCCCUACCACAAAGGGGGCUUAGCAGGCAGCAGACACAGCUUUGGCGUUAGGAAGACUUGGAGGGAAUCAACUGAGUUGUGUUUUUGCCCCUCCAUGGCCCACUCUGCUUCUACCACUUUUCUCUCUUCCUUUUCCUCCCCUUCUUCCUUCCUCAAUCUCUGCUUAUUCAAGUGGGACCUUCCUUUUAACAGUAAGCUUAAAUGUCACUUUCUUUGAGUGACAAGACACAGUGCUGCUGUACAUUGUAAUGUUUUGACUGUCAGGGCCACUGUGAAUAGGGUUUUGACCAGGUCUCAAGAGGCUCCAUCUUCCUACCAUGUGAAUAAACACAUCCAUAGCCAUUUUGCACCCACCCAGCGGGGCCGAAGGGAGGCUUUGCAGAGAUAAUAUAACUUGUGGCAAGGGGUGGGUUCUGUUUCAAUAUUAAGUCCCAUUGUCUUCAUAACACACCCGAGGCAGAAACUGCAGGUGCCAGCACAUUCCCCAUUCCUGAUUUCCUGGCAGUAGCCAGCCCCUGGGUUCCUUUGCCUUUCCUGUGAGGUACAUUUCCCCGGUACCCCUCAUAUUUUUACCUGAGGAUUACUUCUGGGGUGAGGGUUCUAACUAAGCCGUUGUUGGGGUUCCAUCCACCCCCACAUUGCUAUAUAGCUCCCAGAAGCCCGAAACUCUGACCUCAGCAAUUAACCCAUACUUUGAACCUUAGACACUUAAUAAAUUCUAAUCAAAAUCAUUGACUCCUGGCCAAAUCCAAAUCCACUGACCAGAUCCAGGACCAAGAGGAAGAGAGCUCUCCAGCUCACAGACAUAUUACUGCUUCAGAUGCUGGCCAAAGCUCUCAGACAGCGCCAUUCUCAAAUCACGGACUCACCACCCUGCCAAGAGACACCAUUGGCUGGAUAAGGACCCACAGGGGCUCAAGAGAGUGAAUCCUCAGGAUGGGUGAGGCAUCAUGGCAGCUCCAUAUCACUGGCCAAGGCAAGUCACAUAGCCAGGCCGUACCAUGAGCAGCCCUGUGGAAGGCCCAGUGAUGAGGAACGGAGGCCUCCAGCCAACAGCCAUGAGAAGGAGCCUCCUUAGAGAUGGCUCCUCCACCCUCGUCCUAGAGGAAGCUACCACCCGAGCUAACAGUCCAUGACCGCAUGUGCCCAAACCAGCUGAGUCACCUUCAGGGUCCUAUCCCUAAGGACCUUGUACAUAGGCUGAGAAGUCCGAAAUGGUGUUUCCAAUUUUAGCGUUCAGAUUUAAGACUACUUGCCGAUUGCUCAUUCGAAACCUCUAAAUCUGGAACAUUCCAGAAGGAGAAAUCCAAGUUUGAAGUAUUUCAGAGUUUUAAAAUUGGUAUUGUCAUAGUACGGUGUGUAGUGCUGGUGUCCCACAGCAAGCAUGCCAGGUCAGCUUUUGGGAAUUGUCGGCCUCCUUCCCCCUUUGUGGGGGCUCUGCGGGCAAAAAGGUUUCUAGAACUGUAUGGUACAGUUGCCACCCUUCCCACUCCAUUCAAGAUUCUGGUUGUCAGCUUACUCUGCCUGUAACAGAAUUGGUGUUUGUUUUAAGCUGCUGUGUUCUGGGGUAAUUUGCUAUAUAGCAAUAGGUGUCUAAGACACCAGCUGAAAGUUUAAUGUUCAUUUUUAUAACUAUGCAUAGGUCACGUAAGUUUUGGAGCACUCGAUUUGGCUUUAUGUCAUCUGAAGUGAGUGAUGGAGCUUUCUGGGUGUGUUUCAAGGUGAAUUUGGGUUUUCUUGUUUUAUUACAUUCAUAAACCCUUGUGAUGCUCAUGCAUCUGUAAGGAAAAUACAUAUGGUGGCUCAUGCCUGUAAUCACAGCUUAGCAGCUGGAGGCCAGCUGAGGCUACAUAACGAGUUCUAAUCGAGGGAGACUCUUGUCUCAAAAAUUAAAAAAAGAAUAUUAAAAAAAUUAAAGUCUGUGUGUAAGCGUGUAAAAGUUGGGGAGAUGAUUCAAUCAGGAAAGUGUCACGUGUGGUAGUUUGAAUAAAAAUGGCCCCCAUAGUCCCAUAGGGAGUAGCACUAUUAGAAGCUGUGUUGGAGGAAGUGUCAAUGAAGGCCGGCUUUGAGGUCUCUCAUGCUCAAGCCGUGCCCAGCUUUCUCUUCCUGAUGUCUGCUGAUCCAGAUGUAGAACUCUCAGCUACCUCUCCAGCACCACGUCCGCCUGUGUGUUACCUUGUACACAGUGACCACGGGAACCAUGAUGAUAAUGGACUAAACCUCUGAAACUGUAAGCCAGUCCUUUAUAAAAGUUGCUGUGGUCAUGGUGUCUCUUCACAGCGAUAGAAACUCUUUACGACACCACGUAAACAUGAGAGAGGCUCUGGGUUUGGAUCCCUGGCACCCACAUCCAAUGAAAUCUGGUAUGGUGGCUCAUGUCCAGAGACAAGAGGAUUUCCUCAUCCUUGAUGGCCAGCUAGCUUUGCCAAAUUAGUGAGCUCCAAGUUCAGUGAGAGACCUUGUCUGAAAGUCUAAGGGUGGAAAGCAAUAGGAGGAGACAGCUGUGUCAACUUCUGGUGUCAAUCAGCACUUCUCCCAACAGCAGGUAUCCAUCACACACACACACACACACACACACACACACACACACUCAUACACUCAAACACAAAUGAUAGGAAAAGUAGAAACACAAGCGACAAGUUGGAGCCUGGGUGUAGGUGGUGACUGUCGUUUAUCUGGAGUAGAGUGGCCAGGCCCGGGUGUUUACAGGAAGCAGGAACACCACUUCUUCAGGCAGGUGGAGCUCUGGCGGGCUUCAUGCUCUGUGGCCCCACAGCAACAAAUGAGCCACCUCUGGAACUCUGCCUCGUUCUUGUGCAUGAGAAGGAACUGUCCCAGCAGGAUAUAGGCCUGGGAAGAAGAACGUGUGGGGGGAAGAUGGGGUUAUCAGAAUCCCACUCAGAAGUGCCUGCCCUCCCCCCACCAUCGGUUGACAAUCAAAGGUUAGGGUGCGGGUCAGACCAGAGGGGUCGGUCGUCAGGUCAACUCCUGACAAACCCCGAGGAAAGGUGAGGUCAAGUUAAUUACAUGUGUCUCUCAGACCUGGUCUAGCGGCUGUCGUAAUGCAGCGACCGCUAAGCCUUGUCCUCAAACUUGAAAAAAAAAUUCUCAGGGAUCUUGUAAAAGAGAAGUCUCUGACUCAGUAUCUAAAACUAGGGUGGGGUUCGAGACUCCCCAUUUCUAAUAGGCUCCCAGAUGAGGUUGGGUCAAAGACUGUUUGGGGAGGAUAAUGGAUAGGUGACUAACAUACCUCUGAGCUACUUUUAGGCCUGUCA
Long non-coding RNA from Arvicola amphibius (Eurasian water vole), 5974 nucleotides. RefSeq lists it as uncharacterized. The transcript is spliced from 5 exons. The record is from RefSeq and is a predicted model, not a curated record. Lineage: Eukaryota; Metazoa; Chordata; Mammalia; Rodentia; Cricetidae.